AACCUGCCCAUCAGAAGGGGAUAACACUUGGAAACAGGUGCUAAUACCGUAUAACAAUCGAAACCGCAUGGUUUUGAUUUGAAAGGCGCUUUCGGGUGUCGCUGAUGGAUGGACCCGCGGUGCAUUAGCUAGUUGGUGAGGUAACGGCUCACCAAGGCCACGAUGCAUAGCCGACCUGAGAGGGUGAUCGGCCACAUUGGGACUGAGACACGGCCCAAACUCCUACGGGAGGCAGCAGUAGGGAAUCUUCGGCAAUGGACGAAAGUCUGACCGAGCAACGCCGCGUGAGUGAAGAAGGUUUUCGGAUCGUAAAACUCUGUUGUUAGAGAAGAACAAGGAUGAGAGUAACUGUUCAUCCCUUGACGGUAUCUAACCAGAAAGCCACGGCUAACUACGUGCCAGCAGCCGCGGUAAUACGUAGGUGGCAAGCGUUGUCCGGAUUUAUUGGGCGUAAAGCGAGCGCAGGCGGUUUCUUAAGUCUGAUGUGAAAGCCCCCGGCUCAACCGGGGAGGGUCAUUGGAAACUGGGAGACUUGAGUGCAGAAGAGGAGAGUGGAAUUCCAUGUGUAGCGGUGAAAUGCGUAGAUAUAUGGAGGAACACCAGUGGCGAAGGCGGCUCUCUGGUCUGUAACUGACGCUGAGGCUCGAAAGCGUGGGGAGCAAACAGGAUUAGAUACCCUGGUAGUCCACGCCGUAAACGAUGAGUGCUAAGUGUUGGAGGGUUUCCGCCCUUCAGUGCUGCAGCUAACGCAUUAAGCACUCCGCCUGGGGAGUACGACCGCAA
RNAcentral lists this ribosomal RNA (783 nucleotides) under Lacticaseibacillus casei. Its description in RNAcentral is "bacterial SSU rRNA". It matches the Rfam family "Bacterial small subunit ribosomal RNA", at positions 123 to 891 of the family's 1533-position model. Lineage: Bacteria; Bacillati; Bacillota; Bacilli; Lactobacillales; Lactobacillaceae. The record is from RNAcentral.